GGUCCCAACCGUUGAUAGAAAAGCACUAGCUAGGUGAAAGGUGGUGUUUCCGGCGGCGUGUUUGUUUUGGACGUAAACCUUUUGGCCGGAACCCAGAAAAUAUUGUGAGAAACAGGAGGAACGAUGUCUUCUCCUCAUAACUCUUCUCCCGAUAACUCCACACCGGAUAACUCAACACCCGAUAACAGUACACCUGAUGAUGCCGAUGGCUCUUCUUCGCCGCCAUCGCCUCCAUCACAAUCCCCACCUCAACAAUCCCCACCUCAACAAUCACAAUCACCCUCACCACCACCGCCAUCAGAGAACUCAACACCACCCCCUUCUCCUCCUCCACCGAGUUCAGGAAACAACCCAACCCCUCCAUCAUCCAAUGGGUCCCCACCUCCUCCUCCAGUAUCAGGCCAUUCUGACUCUGGUUCACCCUCGCCUCCACACAAAUCAUUGCCAACUCCCCCUUCCUCGGGAAACUCCAGUGACAACAAUGACAUUAGCAAUAAGGCAUUAGUUGGAGCAGUGCUUGGGGUAGGGGCCGUUCUUCUCAUUAUGGUAGUUGUUUGCGUUAUUUGCUCAAGGAAGAAGAAAAAAACCAAGCAAAUGUACUAUUAUGGAGAGCAUCCAUCUAUGGGAAAAG
Molecule: long non-coding RNA, 631 nt
Filed under: Lotus japonicus
Lineage: Eukaryota; Viridiplantae; Streptophyta; Magnoliopsida; Fabales; Fabaceae
Description: long non-coding RNA (LJAP_LNC000235)
Source: RNAcentral